This 468-nucleotide ribosomal RNA is filed under the name uncultured bacterium. RNAcentral describes it as "partial 16S ribosomal RNA". It matches the Rfam family "Bacterial small subunit ribosomal RNA", at positions 28 to 507 of the family's 1533-position model. The record is from RNAcentral.
GACGAACGCUGGCGGCGUGCUUAACACACGCAAGUCGAACGGAAAGGCCCUGCUUUUGUGGGGUGCUCGAGUGGCGAACGGGUGUGUAACACGUGAGUAACCUGCCCUUGACUUUGGGAUAACUUCAGGAAACUGGGGCUAAUACCGGAUAGGAGCUCCUGCUGCAUGGUGGGGGUUGGAAAGUUUCGGCGGUUGGGGAUGGACUCGCGGCUUAUCAGCUUGUUGGUGGGGUAGUGGCUUACCAAGGCUUUGACGGGUAGCCGGCCUGAGAGGGUGACCGGCCACAUUGGGACUGAGAUACGGCCCAGACUCCUACGGGAGGCAGCAGUGGGGAAUAUUGCACAAUGGGCGGAAGCCUGAUGCAGCAACGCCGCGUGCGGGAUGACGGCCUUCGGGUUGUAAACCGCUUUCGCCUGUGACGAAGCGUGAGUGACGGUAAUGGGUAAAGAAGCACCGGCUAACUACGUG